Molecule: RNA transcript, 2125 nt
Organism: Amphimedon queenslandica
Lineage: Eukaryota; Metazoa; Porifera; Demospongiae; Haplosclerida; Niphatidae
Exons: 5
Source: RefSeq, a predicted model, not a curated record
UAGUGGUCAGUUGUUGUCAUAUGACACCACAUUUCAGCUUGGGGAUUUCUAUCUUUCACCACUCCUUUUUCGCCAUAACAUCUUUAAAGAUAAUCCAGUUAUUCCGGUUAUUUUUAUGUUGCAUGAAAGAAAAAAAAACAAAACCCAUACCUUUUUGUUUCAAGAGAUUAAAUCUCAUGUAUCAUCUCUUUCUACUAGUAAGGCACCAUUUGUCACAGACAGAGAGAAGGCCAUUACAAAUGCUUUACAAGCUGAGCUGCCUAAAGUAUUUCAUGUGUCUUGCUGGAAUCAUGUCAUUAGAGACAUUAGAUUUUGGCUGAGUAAACAUGGUGCUUUGUCAUCUGAUAUCGCUGUUUAUUUGGACGAUGUACGGUCCUUAUUUCAUUCUUCUGCUGAUGAUAUAUGAUAUGAAAAUUUCAAACUUUGAUUGGGUUGGGAUAACAACUGAAUUUUCAGAUUUGUUACCGCUAGAAUUGAAGAUAGCAAGUCAUACACCAGAUAUGGCAGAGAGUGAAAUGGUUUCCAUGCAUCAAAUUGAUUCUGAUCUUGAAUAUACCCUAUCACCACUCACAAGUGGAGAUGAAGAUGACUGUGACUGCUCGCUAAUUCUUGUUCCGGAAUAUCAAAAGGACACCUUAUAUGAUGACAUUACAGGGAUUAAUCACAAAGAAUCUUAUAUUUCAGUAGCUGAACAGUUUGUGAAAUCUUCCCACCCACCUAUCAGAAUUGGCUCCAUUCCAGUUAAAGAUUUAUUUAGUGCUAUUAAGAGUCAUGAAGUUAGUUCAUAUACAUUUUCUAAUUAUACGGCAACUCAAUUAAUAGGGCAAGUUCAUUAAAACUGCUUUGGAUCCCUCAUCAAGUGAAUUUUUUACAGAAAAUAUAUUUGAGCAAAAGAAAAGGCAUAUACCAGAUAUCAUAUGGCCUUUAACAGAUGAUGUACUUUCACAACAAAUAUUUCUUUACCUGGAGGAACUAACCAGUUUACACUGUAAGGAUGUGGGUAGAAGGAAAGCAACUGCAGUUAAGUUGCUUUGGCCAGAGGUAACUAUAUUUCUAAUACAAAUAUCUCAACUUAUGUUCUUUUAUUAUUUCCGUAGGCAAUGGUAAUAUGCUUAGAAAAGUUAAAAGGAAUAACACAUGAGGAUGCUGUAUAUUUUAAUAAAAAAGAAAUUACAACUAUCCUACCAUGAAGUUAAUAUAUUGUCUUAUUGAAACAUUGAAUCUGCUUAUAGAUCUAUAACUAUUACAUAAUACUAUAAUGUACUUGAAUAUGUACAAAAAUUAAUAAUAAUUAUUGACAUAGUGAUUAUAGCCAGCCUACUGGCAAGCCAUGAUUGAAACUGGAAACUGAAUAAUAAUGAUGCUUGUUAAGGACUCAAAUAGAGCUUAUAUGUGCAUAGAUAUCAUUCUUGCAGACAAAUCCAUAAACUUUGGGCGUUGAUCCGUACUUCGAUACAGAUCCGCGAGCAUUCCGCGUUGAUCCGCAUUUCAGCCUGAUCUGCAUUUGAUCCGCAUUUCAGGCUUGCCCGUGUAUUUACCAAUCUGGGCCCUUUCUUCUGGCGUGUAAUCUUAAUACUUCGGCCAUUUUGACAUUUUUUCAACUUCUGUGUCUUGUUCAGAUGAAGUACGUUUCACAGAUUCAUUCACCUUCGCAAGUUCAUUAUUAGAGAGGGACAGUACCUUUUCUGGAAGAUUGUGUUCACCUAAUUUAGACACUGGCUUAAAGAAAUGUAGUAAAGCCAUUUUAGCUUCUAACCAUGCUUUUGACUAAGUAAAAUUAAUGUGGGCAUGGUAAUUGGGCGUGUAUACACAUAAAUGGAAUUAUUGCUUGCAGAUUUUAUUUUGGCGUUUUUGUAUAAAUCCGCCAAUCCACCAAUAUAAAAACCCCGUCAACAUUUCAUCUUAUACGGUAAAUCAACUUUUGAAUAUUACUUAGUGGCCCAAUGUAGCCUGAACAAUGGGUAUCAUGGUUAAAAUUGCACAAGACAGGUGCAACGUAUAAACUAUGAUAUAUUUCAGGCAACAUUAACACUGGAUUGGGCAGCCAAUAUAAUACACUGAUGUAGAUUAGGUGGAGAUGCAAAUGACAGAAAAUUCACAUUAGAUACAUUAUAUAGAUAAUGAU